RNAcentral lists this ribosomal RNA (528 nucleotides) under uncultured bacterium. RNAcentral's name for it is "bacterial SSU rRNA". It matches the Rfam family "Bacterial small subunit ribosomal RNA", at positions 791 to 1319 of the family's 1533-position model. The record is from RNAcentral.
UAGUCCACGCCGUAAACGAUGGAUACUAGGUGUCCGGGAUAUUAACCUCCUGGGUACUACAGUUAACGCGUUAAGUAUCCCGCCUGGGGAGUACGGUCGCAAGGCUAAAACUCAAAGGAAUUGACGGGGGCCCGCACAAGCGGUGGAGUAUGUGGUUUAAUUCGAAGCAACGCGCAGAACCUUACCUACCCUUAACAUUUCACGACGUAUACAGAGAUGUAUAUUUCUCUUCGGAGACGUGAGGAUAGGUGCUGCAUGGCUGUCGUCAGCUCGUGUCGUAAGAUGUCUGGUUAAGUCCAAUAACGAGCGCAACCCUUAUCCUUAGUUACCAGCAUUAAGUUGGGGACUCUAGGGAGACUGCCGGUGAUAAACCGGAGGAAGGUGGGGACGACGUCAAGUCCUCAUGGCCCUUAUGUCUGGGGCUACACACGUGCUACAAUGGCAUUUACAGAGGGCCGCGAAGCCGCAAGGUGGAGCAAAUCCCACAAAGGAUGCCUCAGUUCGGAUUGGAGUCUGCAACUCGACUCC